UUUUUUCAGAGAGUAGUUUCCUCUCUUUGUUUAAUCCAUUGUUGCAAAAUGGGAACUGGAAAGAGAAUGAGCAGGGUGCAUCCUGGUAGUUGCCACUCCAGUGAGAAUGCCCUUUAUACCACCCAGCGGUAAAAAGGAGCGGGUAUCAAGCACACUAUAAAGUAGCUCAUAACACCUCGCUUAGCCACACCCCCACGGGACACAGCAGUGAUAAAAAUUAAGCAAUAAAUGAAAGUCUGACUAAGUUAUACUAUUCAGGACUGGUAAAUCUCGUGCCAGCCACCGCGGUCAUACGAUUAGGCCAAAUUAAUAGACACCCGGCGUAAAGUGUGUUUUAGAAUACAAAUAAUAAAUAAAAUCAAACCUUAACUAAGCUGUAAAAAGCCUCAGCUAACGUAAGAUAUAUAACGAAAGUGAUUUUAGAGAAUCUGACUACACGAUAGCUAAGACCCAAACUGGGAUUAGAUACCCCACUAUGCUUAGCCCUAAACAUAAAAAAUUAUAAACAAAAUUAUUCGCCAGAGUACUACUAGCAACAGCUUAAAACUCAAAGGACUUGGCGGUGCCUUACAUCCCUCUAGAGGAGCCUGUUCUAUAAUCGAUAAACCCCGAUCUACCUCACCAGUCUUUGCUAAAUCAGCCUAUAUACCGCCAUCUUCAGCAAACCCUAAAAAGGGACUAAAGUAAGCACAAGUAUUAACAUAAAAACGUUAGGUCAAGGUGUAGCUUAUAGAGUGGAAAGAAAUGGGCUACAUUCUCCGAACCGGAGAAUUAGAAUUUACACGAAAACCUAUGUGAAAUCAAAAGUUAAAGGUGGAUUUAGCAGUAAAUUAAGAAUAGAGAGCUUAAUUGAAUGUGGCCAUAAGGCACGCACACACCGCCCGUCACCCUCCUCAAAUAAAGCAUCAAUCAUAUCCCAAAUAAUAUAAAGAUAUCAACCUAUGAGAGGAGACAAGUCGUAACAAGGUAAGUGUACUGGAAAGUGCACUUGGAUAAUACAAAGU
This is a non-coding RNA of Myotis davidii, 1004 nucleotides long. Lineage: Eukaryota; Metazoa; Chordata; Mammalia; Chiroptera; Vespertilionidae. The record is from Rfam.